RNAcentral lists this ribosomal RNA (254 nucleotides) under uncultured bacterium. RNAcentral describes it as "partial 16S ribosomal RNA". It matches the Rfam family "Bacterial small subunit ribosomal RNA", at positions 524 to 776 of the family's 1533-position model. The record is from RNAcentral.
UACGUAGGGGGCAAGCGUUGUCCGGAAUCAUUGGGCGUAAAGAGCUCGUAGGCGGUUACGAAAGUCGGUUGUGAAAGCCCGGGGCUCAACCCCGGGACUGCAUUCGAUACUUCGUUGACUAGAGUCCGGUAGAGGAAGGUGGAAUUCCUGGUGUAGCGGUGGAAUGCACAGAUAUCAGGAGGAACACCGGUGGCGAAGGCGGCCUUCUGGGCCGGUACUGACGCUGAGGAGCGAAAGCUAGGGGAGCGAACAGG